RNAcentral lists this transfer RNA (87 nucleotides) under Thermocrinis ruber. RNAcentral describes it as "tRNA-Leu". It matches the Rfam family "tRNA". Rfam says of the family: Transfer RNA (tRNA) molecules are approximately 80 nucleotides in length. Their secondary structure includes four short double-helical elements and three loops (D, anti-codon, and T loops). Lineage: Bacteria; Pseudomonadati; Aquificota; Aquificia; Aquificales; Aquificaceae. The record is from RNAcentral.
GCCGGAGUGGCGGAAUUGGCAGACGCGCUGUCUUGAGGGGGCAGUGCCCGAAAGGGCGUGCGGGUUCGACUCCCGCCUCCGGCACUA